CUAAAUUAAGGACCGUUUUGCACUUUGCCCCCCAAACAAAAAAAAGUUGCACGUUUUUACCUGAACUCGUUAUUUUAUUGCACGGUGCCUCUAAAGUGGAAUUUUCAGGCGAUUUUAGCCGGAAUAUUAAACACGUGCUCUGCACGUGAGAUUUAAAGGGAUAAAUUCGUCAAUUCACUUAUAUUAUAUAUUAAAUAUUAAUUAAUCGCUAAAAAAGAAAAAGAAAAAAACCCACCAUAUAUCCUCUUCUCCCCCCUCUCUGUUUCUCUCUCUACUCGUCUCCAUCACCACCCCAUUCUCACAUUUCC
RNAcentral lists this long non-coding RNA (308 nucleotides) under Erythranthe guttata (spotted monkey flower). RNAcentral's name for it is "long non-coding RNA (EGUT_LNC000212)". The record is from RNAcentral. Lineage: Eukaryota; Viridiplantae; Streptophyta; Magnoliopsida; Lamiales; Phrymaceae.